Molecule: ribosomal RNA, 499 nt
Filed under: uncultured bacterium
Lineage: Bacteria
Description: bacterial SSU rRNA
Rfam family: Bacterial small subunit ribosomal RNA
Source: RNAcentral
GACGAACGCUGGCGGCGUGGAUUAGGCAUGCAAGUCGAACGGUAUCAUCCUUUCGGGGGUGAGAGAGUGGCGAACUGGUGAGUAACACGUAGGUUAUCUACCCUCAAGACGGGGACAACCCAGGGAAACUUGGGCUAAUACCGGAUGAGAGUGCGAGAGAUUGCAUUUAAAAGGAUGGCGAAAGUUGUCGCUUAGGGAUGAGCCUGCGGUCUAUUAGUUAGUUGGUGAGGUAAGAGCUCACCAAGGCGAUGAUAGAUAGGCGGCCUUAACGGGUGGUCGCCCACACUGGGAUUGAGAUACGGCCCAGACUCCUACGGGAGGCAGCAGUCGAGAAUAGUCUACAAUGGCCGGAAGGCUGAUAGUGCGACGCCGCGUGAACGAGGGAGCCCUUCGGGGUGUAAAGUUCUUUUCUAUACGAGCAGUGCUAUAUAUAUGGAUAGUAUAUAUAGAGGGAUAGUAGUAUAGGAAUAAGCAACGGCUAACUCCGUGCCAGCAGCCG